AUGGAUGUCGCGUGGAUAGCGCCGGCGGCCGUUGCGGCGGUGCUGGCCUCGUGGACGUCGAGCGAGCUGGUGUGGAGGCCGCGCGCCAUCACCAGGGAGCUCGGCGCGCAGGGCGUGGGCGGGCCGGGCUACAAGUUCUUGGCCGGGAACCUUGGCGAGAUCAAGAAGCUGCGCGCCGCCAGCGCCGACGCCGUGUUGGCCGUCGGCUCCCACGACUUGGUCCCCAUUGUGCAGCCGCAUUUGCACAAAUGGAUCCCCCUUCAUGGGCGCACAUUCCUCUACUGGUUCGGAGUGAGGCCGACCCUCUGCGUGGCCGACGUCAACAUGGUACAGCAGGUGCUCUCCGACCGCAAUGGUCUAUACCCAAAGAACACCGUGAUCCCGCACAUCGCUCGCCUGCUCGGCAAUGGCCUCGUGCUCACCAACGGCAACGAGUGGAAGCGCCACCGCAAGGUCGUCCACCCUGCCUUCGACAUGGACAAGCUUAUGAUGACGUCGACCAUGUCAGACUGUGCCGGUUCGAUCAUGUCGGAGUGGGAAGCAAAGGUGGGUGGAGGGGAGGCCGAGAUUGAGCUGAGCAGCCAGUUUGAGGAGCUAACUGCGGAUGUCAUCUCUCGCACCGCAUUCGGAGGCAGCCAUAAAGAGGGCAAACAAGUAUGUCUUGCGCAGAGGGACCUCCAGUUUCUUGCCUUCUCUGCUGUUUACAACGUCGUCCAAAUCCCGGCAUUGGGGUACCUUCCAACUGAAAAGAACCUCAAGAUACGGAAGCUCGACAAGGAGGUGAGGGGCAUACUCGCGGACAUCAUCAAAAGUCGGAUCACAUCCUAUGACACCAAGAGCUAUGGAUGGGACCUGCUCGGGCUAAUGUUGGAGGCAUGCAUGCCUCAGGAGCACGGCCAUGAUCCGCUUCUUAGCAUGGAUGAGAUAAUAGAUGAGUGCAAGACCUUCUUCUUCGCAGGGCAUGACACUAGCUCGCACAUGCUUACAUGGACCAUGUUCUUGCUGAGCACACAUCCAGAAUGGCAACAGAAGCUCAGGGAGGAAGUGAUGAGAGAGUGUGGCAGUACGGUUCGCACCGCCGACAUGCUCAACAAACUGAAGUUGGUCAACAUGUUCCUACUAGAAACUCUUAGGUUAUACAAUCCUGUAUCGGUCAUUCAAAGGAAGGCAGGUUCAGAUCUUGAGAUCGGAGGCAUCAAAGUGCCCCAAGGCACGGUCUUGACGAUCCCCAUCGCAACGAUACAUCGUGACAAGGAGGUCUGGGGAGAGGAUGCCAAUGAAUUCAAGCCACUAAGGUUCGAGAAAGGAGUAACGAGGGCAUCAAAGCAUCCCAACGCAUUCUUGUCUUUCUCUAGUGGACCAAGGUCAUGCAUCGGGAAGAACUUUGCGAUGAUCGAGGCCAAGAUUGUGAUCGUCAUGAUUAUUCAGAGGUUCUCCUUCUCCCUAUCGCCUAAGUAUGUCCAUGCCCCGACGGACGUGAUCACGCUGCGGCCCAAGUUUGGUCUUCCCAUGAUCCUCAACAGCCUAGAUAUGCAGAGACAUGACUAA
Molecule: ribosomal RNA, 1548 nt
Filed under: Triticum aestivum (bread wheat)
Lineage: Eukaryota; Viridiplantae; Streptophyta; Magnoliopsida; Poales; Poaceae
Description: partial small subunit ribosomal RNA
Source: RNAcentral